UACGGGGGGGAGCAAGCGUUGUUCGGAUUUACUGGGCGUAAAGGCGCGUAGGCGGUCAGCACAAGUCAGUUGUGAAAUCUCCGAGCUUAACUCGGAAAGGUCAACUGAAACUGUGCGACUAGAGUGCGGAAGGGGCAACUGGAAUUCUUGGUGUAGCGGUGAAAUGCGUAGAUAUCAAGAGGAACACCUGCGGCGAAGGCGGGUUGCUGGGCCGACACUGACGCUGAUGCGCGAAAGCCAGGGGAGCGAACGGG
Molecule: ribosomal RNA, 254 nt
Filed under: uncultured bacterium
Lineage: Bacteria
Description: partial 16S ribosomal RNA
Rfam family: Bacterial small subunit ribosomal RNA
Source: RNAcentral